RNAcentral lists this ribosomal RNA (482 nucleotides) under uncultured bacterium. RNAcentral describes it as "partial 16S ribosomal RNA". It matches the Rfam family "Bacterial small subunit ribosomal RNA", at positions 30 to 507 of the family's 1533-position model. The record is from RNAcentral.
AUUGAACGCUGGCGGCAUGCUUUACACAUGCAAGUCGAACGGUAACAGGCCGCAAGGUGCCGACGAGUGGCGAACGGGUGCGUAAUGCAUCGGAACGUGCCCAGUCGUGGGGGAUAACUACUCGAAAGAGUAGCUAAUACCGCAUACGAUCUAUGGAUGAAAGCGGGGGACCGUAAGGCCUCGCGCGAUUGGAGCGGCCGAUGUCAGAUUAGGUAGUUGGUGGGGUAAAGGCUCACCAAGCCAACGAUCUGUAGCUGGUCUGAGAGGACGACCAGCCACACUGGGACUGAGACACGGCCCAGACUCCUACGGGAGGCAGCAGUGGGGAAUUUUGGACAAUGGGCGCAAGCCUGAUCCAGCAAUGCCGCGUGCAGGAAGAAGGCCUUCGGGUUGUAAACUGCUUUUGUACGGAACGAAACGGCUCUGGUUAAUACCCGGGGCUAAUGACGGUACCGUAAGAAUAAGCACCGGCUAACUACGUG